CCACGGGGGUAAUGCCUUUAGUAGCGGCGAGUGAAGCGGCAAAAGCUCAAAUUUGAAAUCUGGCUCUUUCAGAGUCCGAGUUGUAAUUUGAAGAAGGUAUCUUUGGGUCUGGCUCUUGUCUAUGUUUCUUGGAACAGAACGUCACAGAGGGUGAGAAUCCCGUGCGAUGAGAUGAUCCAGGCCUAUGUAAAGUUCCUUCGAAGAGUCGAGUUGUUUGGGAAUGCAGCUCUAAGUGGGUGGUAAAUUCCAUCUAAAGCUAAAUAUUGGCGAGAGACCGAUAGCGAACAAGUACAGUGAUGGAAAGAUGAAAAGAACUUUGAAAAGAGAGUGAAAAAGUACGUGAAAUUGUUGAAAGGGAAGGGCUUGAGAUCAGACUUGGUAUUUUGUAUGUUACUUCUUCGGGGGUGGCCUCUACAGUUUAUCGGGCCAGCAUCAGUUUGGGCGGUAGGAGAAUUGCGUUGGAAUGUGGCACGGCCUCGGUUGUGUGUUAUAGCCUUCGUCGAUACUGCCAGCCUAGACUGAGGACUGCGGUUUAUACCUAGGAUGUUGGCAUAAUGAUCUUAAGUCGCCCGUCUUGAAACACGGACCA
RNAcentral lists this ribosomal RNA (589 nucleotides) under Candida tropicalis. RNAcentral describes it as "LSU rRNA". It matches the Rfam family "Eukaryotic large subunit ribosomal RNA", at positions 66 to 668 of the family's 3401-position model. The record is from RNAcentral. Lineage: Eukaryota; Fungi; Ascomycota; Pichiomycetes; Serinales; Debaryomycetaceae.